CGGAUUGUAGUCUGCAACUCGACUACAUGAAGCUGGAAUCGCUAGUAAUCGCGGAUCAGAAUGCCGCGGUGAAUACGUUCCCGGGUCUUGUACACACCGCCCGUCACACCAUGGGAGUCGAUAACGCCCGAAGUCAGUGACCCAACCUGUAAGGAGGGAGCUGCCGAAGGCGGGAUUGAUAACUGGGGUGAAGUCGUAACAAGGUAGC
RNAcentral lists this ribosomal RNA (208 nucleotides) under uncultured bacterium. Its description in RNAcentral is "partial 16S ribosomal RNA". It matches the Rfam family "Bacterial small subunit ribosomal RNA", at positions 1294 to 1500 of the family's 1533-position model. The record is from RNAcentral.